This is a long non-coding RNA of Ctenopharyngodon idella (grass carp), 1684 nucleotides long. RefSeq lists it as uncharacterized. The transcript has 4 exons. The record is from RefSeq and is a predicted model, not a curated record. Lineage: Eukaryota; Metazoa; Chordata; Actinopteri; Cypriniformes; Xenocyprididae.
UUGAGUUCUCUUUGCACUCGUAUGAAAUUAAACACUGAAAGAAUCGAGUUGACAACAGACAAAUUGUGUUGCAUGAUCUACUAUGAUGGUGAAAUAACUGCUGAGGUAAGAAUGAAGCCUGGAGAUGCAAAUUCAAGAGCAUCAAAGACAUCAUUUCUAAGAGAAUAUGGUUAUCAAACCCAACAUGAAAAAGCCCUGGCAGUGCUACUGAAUUCAGAGUCCUUUGAAGGUGCAUUAAAAUUGCAAUUUGGACCUUCAACCCGUUGGUCCCUGUUGAAGUCCACUAUAUGGAGAAAAAUCCUGGAAUGUUUUCCUCAAAAACCUUAAUUUCUUUUCAACUGAAGAAAGAAAGACAUGAACAUCUUGGAUGACAUGGGGACACUUGGGUUUCGCUAAACGCUAUCACUAACAAACAACAGAGCAGGAUUAGCAAGCAUCCACUCUAGGUGACUAGCACACUCCUGGUGGCAUCAGAAAGACCCAUAAUGCCUAGCAGCUGUUAGGGACAUCUGGACACAGGUGAGGACGAUGCUCGCCCCAGACCGCAGGGCUGACGGCUUCCAGUAUCACUGCAUUAUGGAGGUUAAAGAUCAUCUCCACUAGCAACAAAGGAUUGAGGAUUAGUUUUGUAACAUAGGAGGCCCAUUUCGUCUGUGGUGAAUGCAAAUGAUGCAAACAAAAGCGAUUGGGAGGUGAUGGUCUGUCAGAUUAGGGUGUCUGGACGCACACUUUGGAUGCUGCCAAUGAAUCGCUCCACUCUUCUGUAGGGCAGAUGGUAUUGUGACGUUUCACAAUUACUAUUAAACUACAUAAUAGGUUCUUUUAGGCACUUUUAAGCUGCACCCCCUAUUUUUUGGAAUAGCUUGGAGUAGCUCAGAAUACCUUGUUUUCUUUCAAAGUGACUUUUGACCCAAAGGUAUGAUCCUUUAGGACCAAAAGAGGGCAGCAUAGCUCUGUUUGAUACAAACAGAACUAUGCUGAUUGAAGAUUUAAGAUUGGUCACACAUAUUUAAAAGAAUGAGCCAAAACCAUUUGCCAAUCUUUGAAAAUUUUGAAGCAAACACAAUUUUGAGAUUUAAUAUAAUAAUAAUAAUAAUAAUAAUAUAAUAAAAUCAAGAUUUUUAAUUUCAUUAUAAAUAAGAAUGAGAUUUCUAACACAAAAAAUAUUCACAAUAGUCAUGGAAACAUUUACUUUUCAUACACACCUUUAUGGAUGACAGAUCUCCCAACUGUCUUUUAUCCUAUUUAUUUUUAUGUCUGUUGUGUUGUUUUACCCCUUGGGAGGUAGAUUGAUGCUAAUGUUAUUACAAAAGAAUAUAUAUUUGUUUUGUUUUUUUAUAGUUGCAGUCAUGUUUAAUAAGCAUUUAUGUGAAUAUUCCUGAGCUGACUGUAAAUAUGAUGAAAGAAAAUAGUCACAAUGGCUUUUAAUUCAUUGAAAAUGUGCUGUGUGUUUUUCAACUGUGAAAUUGCAGAUUAGACAUCCAUUUUUACUUGUUAGAUGGCUAAAAUAUAUUGUGCUUUGUAAUGAAAAUAUAUAGGUGAAAUGCAUUUGAUUAACCAAUAGGUAGUCAAAAAUCACUACUAUUUAUAUUCUGUUUUGUUAUUGGUCUUUUAUGUAUUUUCAAACAUAAUGUUUCAUGAUCCAUGUAUGUUGCAUCAGAAUUAAAACUGUGGCUCUGCUGAA